This 165-nucleotide ribosomal RNA is filed under the name Triticum aestivum (bread wheat). RNAcentral describes it as "partial small subunit ribosomal RNA". The record is from RNAcentral. Lineage: Eukaryota; Viridiplantae; Streptophyta; Magnoliopsida; Poales; Poaceae.
AUGAAGCGGUGCUGGGACGCGAACCCCGACAAGCGGCCGGAGAUGGCGGAGGUGGUGACGAUGCUGGAGGCGAUCGACACGUCCAAGGGCGGGGGCAUGAUCCCCGUGGACCAGGCGCGGGGCAUCGGGUGCCUCUCCUGCCUCAGGCCGCGCAGGGGGGCCUGA